This 304-nucleotide ribosomal RNA is filed under the name uncultured bacterium. Its description in RNAcentral is "partial 16S ribosomal RNA". It matches the Rfam family "Bacterial small subunit ribosomal RNA", at positions 506 to 807 of the family's 1533-position model. The record is from RNAcentral.
CAGCAGUAGCCGCGGGAAUACGUAGGGUGCGAGCGUUAAUCGGAAUUACUGGGCGUAAAGCGUGCGCAGGCGGUUAUAUAAGACAGAUGUGAAAUCCCCGGGCUCAACCUGGGACCUGCAUUCGUGACUGUAUAGCUAGAGUACGGUAGAGGGGGAUGGAAUUCCGCGUGUAGCAGUGAAAUGCGUAGAUAUGCGGAGGAACACCGAUGGCGAAGGCAAUCCCCUGGACCUGUACUGACGCUCAUGCACGAAAGCGUGGGGAGCAAACAGGAUUAGAUACCCGCGUAGUCCCUGUCUCUUAUAC